Molecule: ribosomal RNA, 468 nt
Filed under: uncultured bacterium
Lineage: Bacteria
Description: partial 16S ribosomal RNA
Rfam family: Bacterial small subunit ribosomal RNA
Source: RNAcentral
AGUGAACGCUGGCGGUAGGCCUAACACACGCAAGUCGAACGGAAAGGCCCUGCUUUUGUGGGGUGCUCGAGUGGCGAACGGGUGAGUAACACGUGAGUAACCUGCCCUUGACUUUGGGAUAACUUCAGGAAACUGGGGCUAAUACCGGAUAGGAGCUCCUGCUGCAUGGUGGGGGUUGGAAAGUUUCGGCGGUUGGGGAUGGACUCGCGGCUUAUCAGCUUGUUGGUGGGGUAGUGGCUUACCAAGGCUUUGACGGGUAGCCGGCCUGAGAGGGUGACCGGCCACAUUGGGACUGAGAUACGGCACAGACUCCUACGGGAGGCAGCAGUGGGGAAUAUUGCACAAUGGGCGGAAGCCUGAUGCAGCAACGCCGCGUGCGGGAUGACGGCCUUCGGGUUGUAAACCGCUUUCGCCUGUGACGAAGCGUGAGUGACAGUAAUGGGUAAAGAAGCACCGGCUAACUACGUG